Molecule: ribosomal RNA, 495 nt
Filed under: Acalymma trivittatum
Lineage: Eukaryota; Metazoa; Arthropoda; Insecta; Coleoptera; Chrysomelidae
Description: partial 16S ribosomal RNA
Source: RNAcentral
GUCUUUUUGUUUGUAUAAAAAGUCUCGCCUGCCCACUGAAAAUUUUAAAUGGCCGCGGUAUUUUGACCGUGCUAAGGUAGCAUAAUCAUUAGUUUUUUAAUUGAAAGCUAGAAUGAAGGGUUGGAUGAAAAAAUAACUGUCUCUAUUUAAUUUAUAAGAAUUUUAUUUUUAAGUUAAAAAGCUUAAAUUUUAUUAAAAGACGAGAAGACCCUAUAGAGUUUUAUAUAUUUAAAUUUAAUUAUUUUUAGUAUUUAAAUUAUUUAUUUUAAAAUAUAUUUAAUUGGGGUGAUUAAAAAAUUAAAUUAACUUUUUUUAUAUAAUUAUAUUAAUUAAUAAUUUAUUGAUCCAAUAUUUUUGAUUAUAAGAUUAAAUUACCUUAGGGAUAACAGCGUAAUUUUACUGGAGAGUUCAAAUUGAGAGUAAAGGUUGCGACCUCGAUGUUGGAUUAAAAUUUAUAAUUGGUGCAGAAGCUAUAGUUAUUAAGUCUGUUCGACU